AAAUUGAAGAGUUUGAUCAUGGCUCAGAUUGAACGCUGGCGGCAGGCCUAACACAUGCAAGUCGAACGGUAACAGGAAGAAGCUUGCUUAUUUGCUGACGAGUGGCGGACGGGUGAGUAAUGUCUGGGAAACUGCCUGAUGGAGGGGGAUAACUACUGGAAACGGUAGCUAAUACCGCAUAACGUCGCAAGACCAAAGAGGGGGACCUUCGGGCCUCUUGCCAUCGGAUGUGCCCAGAUGGGAUUAGCUUGUUGGUGGGGUAACGGCUCACCAAGGCGACGAUCCCUAGCUGGUCUGAGAGGAUGACCAGCCACACUGGAACUCUGAGACACGGUCCAGACUCCUACGGGAGGCAGCAGUGGGGAAUAUUGCACAAUGGGCGCAAGCCUGAUGCAGCCAUGCCGCGUGUAUGAAGAAGGCCUUCGGGUUGUAAAGUACUUUCAGCGGGGAGGAAGGGAGUAAAGUUAAUACCUUU
Molecule: ribosomal RNA, 475 nt
Filed under: Escherichia coli
Lineage: Bacteria; Pseudomonadati; Pseudomonadota; Gammaproteobacteria; Enterobacterales; Enterobacteriaceae
Description: bacterial SSU rRNA
Rfam family: Bacterial small subunit ribosomal RNA
Source: RNAcentral